UCGUGUCAGACAGAUCGGGAUACUCAUCAAAUAAAAACUUGAAAACCGGGAUGCAUUCCCCUGCCAAUGGCGGGCCGCAAUAAAAGCCUCUUCACGAUGCCGGCGGAUUACAACGGCGAGGAACACCCACAACCUGUCAUAAGGGAGUUUUCAUCACAUCGCUGGCACGACCCUU
This 175-nucleotide small RNA is filed under the name uncultured Prevotella sp. RNAcentral's name for it is "Bacteroidales-1 6S-Bacteroidales RNA suggested". It matches the Rfam family "Bacteroidales-1 6S-Bacteroidales RNA suggested". The record is from RNAcentral. Lineage: Bacteria; Pseudomonadati; Bacteroidota; Bacteroidia; Bacteroidales; Prevotellaceae.